RNAcentral lists this long non-coding RNA (512 nucleotides) under Panax ginseng (ginseng). Its description in RNAcentral is "long non-coding RNA (PGIN_LNC012329)". The record is from RNAcentral. Lineage: Eukaryota; Viridiplantae; Streptophyta; Magnoliopsida; Apiales; Araliaceae.
GAUCCUUUGUCUACCACUCGGGGUAGAACAACAAAUGGGCUGCCAUCGAAUGGCCAGCGAGUCCUACCAUACCUCCUUACACCGUAGUGACCAUAGGACAAAUAGGACCAGGACCAAUAGUGACCAUUGAUUUACCACCCUGGUAAAAUCAAUAUAGGAUCCUUUGUCUACCACUUGGGGUAAAACAACAAAUGGGCUGCCAUCGAAUGGCCAGCGAGUCCUACCAUACCUCCUUACACCGAUGACGUUUGCCUACCACAAAGGGCCUGACAAACUCAUAAGGACCACCUGCCGAAGAGGUUGCCAUCGAAUGGUCAACGAGUCCUCCCGAACCUCCUAACACCGAGGUGGCAUUUGCUGUGCAUGUCAGACUAUGGAUGAGCUACAAAAGUCCCUCAUGAAUGUUUUAAACUUCGAUCCCAUGAGCUGGCGUCUGUUAACCUGAUCCCUAGGCAAUUGACCCAGUACGACUACCCCCCAGACAGCAAGAGGUAUAGGAGAUAAAAUCGAAU